GGGGAUGGGAUGGCAUUGGUUUCUCUGCCUGACACAGUGGUCCCAUCCUGGCCGGUCUACGGCGGUCCACAGCAGGGAGGGGGGGCCUGUCCGGGAGACUGAGGGCACUGAGCACCGGGCGCCUCAGGAGCUCGGCCUAGAAUGAGACAAACUCCUCAAUGUGGGGAUGGUGGGUUACCUGGCUCCCUGGACCCCUUCUGCCCAAACGCAUCCUGUUUCCCUAGUUCCUGUGGUGACCUCUACCGCAGAGCUGGGUAGAACCUCCGUGGGAACCAACCUUCAACUCUUCCUUACAAAACACAGCAAAAAGCCAAAGGGAAAAGCAAUUCCACCCGUCGCCGGGCCCGGCCCCCGCCUGCUGUCCGGAUUGACAGACCUGCAGGCCAUCAGCUCCGGGUCCCGGGGCUGGACCGGUGACCUAGUGAGAGAAAAAUCCCCAUGUAGGCAUGUGACCUUGCUCCUGCGUGCUGACAGAUGGCCUACAGCAGGCUGGCACGGCCACCAUAGCAAAGUGGACAGGUUCUCCCGAGGCAGUACCAUCACCUGACCCAGCCAGGACUGCUCACUACCCAUCAAUGGCCACCUGUGCUGCUGCUUCCAUCACGCCUGGCUCCACAGAAGGCCAGGACCACUGCAGAGUUGUUCAGAGAGUGGGCAAGGGCCUAGGUGGUAUAUGCAUGACUUCUAACCUGAGCCUGAGGGCAUGCAUGGUCCGUGUGACUGGGACGUCUGACCCUGCUCUCUGACCCUGCCCCAGCCCUUUUGCCCCAAAAGAGACCAAGGCCACUGGACUGAGCCAGACACGGAGACAUGGGAUGCGGGCAUGGGGGAAGUGGAGACAAGGGGCUGGGGGUGGAGGAUGGAUAUGGGAUUCGGGCCUCCCUUCAUCCACACAUCCCACCAUCCUGGGGAAGAAACAAAGCUGAGGAUACUUUACGUUUCUCGUGUUCCCUUCGUGCCCCACUCCCGAUGGCCUCGGUGGGGCCAGAUGGGGCGGCGGGGGCUCCCGGGCCACCUCUCCCUUCUCCGAGCUGGGCACACGCUUGCAGGACUUGCUGGAAUCUCAGCAGCGAGGUCAGCUUGGGCCCCGGAUGGUGGGUGGCAUCGCUCCUUCCUUCCCCGCCUGAGUUAACUAUUAACCCUGGUGUCCCUCAGCCUGGCAGAUGAU
This 1168-nucleotide long non-coding RNA is filed under the name Ornithorhynchus anatinus (platypus). RNAcentral describes it as "lncRNA (ENSOANG00000044915.1)". The record is from RNAcentral. Lineage: Eukaryota; Metazoa; Chordata; Mammalia; Monotremata; Ornithorhynchidae.